RNAcentral lists this ribosomal RNA (807 nucleotides) under uncultured bacterium. Its description in RNAcentral is "bacterial SSU rRNA". It matches the Rfam family "Bacterial small subunit ribosomal RNA", at positions 8 to 804 of the family's 1533-position model. The record is from RNAcentral.
AGAGUUUGAUCCUGGCUCAGAUUGAACGCUGGCGGCAUGCUUUACACAUGCAAGUCGGACGGCAGCACAGAGAAGCUUGCUUCUUGGGUGGCGAGUGGCGAACGGGUGAGUAAUAUAUCGGAACGUACCGAGUAAUGGGGGAUAACUAAUCGAAAGAUUAGCUAAUACCGCAUAUUCUCUGAGGAGGAAAGCAGGGGACCUUCGGGCCUUGCGUUAUUCGAGCGGCCGAUAUCUGAUUAGCUAGUUGGUGGGGUAAAGGCCUACCAAGGCGACGAUCAGUAGCGGGUCUGAGAGAAUGAUCCGCCACACUGGGACUGAGACACGGCCCAGACUCCUACGGGAGGCAGCAGUGGGGAAUUUUGGACAAUGGGCGCAAGCCUGAUCCAGCCAUGCCGCGUGUCUGAAGAAGGCCUUCGGGUUGUAAAGGACUUUUGUCAGGGAAGAAAAGGCUGUUGCUAAUAUCGACAGCUGAUGACGGUACCUGAAGAAUAAGCACCGGCUAACUACGUGCCAGCAGCCGCGGUAAUACGUAGGGUGCGAGCGUUAAUCGGAAUUACUGGGCGUAAAGCGAGCGCAGACGGUUACUUAAGCAGGAUGUGAAAUCCCCGGGCUCAACCUGGGAACUGCGUUCUGAACUGGGUGACUAGAGUGUGUCAGAGGGAGGUAGAAUUCCACGUGUAGCAGUGAAAUGCGUAGAGAUGUGGAGGAAUACCGAUGGCGAAGGCAGCCUCCUGGGAUAACACUGACGUUCAUGCUCGAAAGCGUGGGUAGCAAACAGGAUUAGAUACCCUGGUAGUCCACGCCCUA